CGCGAAGAACCUUACCAGGUCUUGACAUCCUCUGACAACCCUAGAGAUAGGGCUUUCCCUUCGGGGACAGAGUGACAGGUGGUGCAUGGUUGUCGUCAGCUCGUGUCGUGAGAUGUUGGGUUAAGUCCCGCAACGAGCGCAACCCUUGAUCUUAGUUGCCAGCAUUCAGUUGGGCACUCUAAGGUGACUGCCGGUGACAAACCGGAGGAAGGUGGGGAUGACGUCAAAUCAUCAUGCCCCUUAUGACCUGGGCUACACACGUGCUACAAUGGACAGAACAAAGGGSUGCGAGACCGCAAGGUUUAGCCAAUCCCACAAAUCUGUUMWCRGUUCGGAUCGCAGUCUGCAACUCGACUGCGUGAAGC
Molecule: ribosomal RNA, 365 nt
Filed under: Bacillus sp. (in: firmicutes)
Lineage: Bacteria; Bacillati; Bacillota; Bacilli; Caryophanales; Bacillaceae
Description: bacterial SSU rRNA
Rfam family: Bacterial small subunit ribosomal RNA
Source: RNAcentral